RNAcentral lists this ribosomal RNA (305 nucleotides) under Platygyra daedalea. RNAcentral's name for it is "eukaryotic LSU rRNA". It matches the Rfam family "Eukaryotic large subunit ribosomal RNA", at positions 43 to 343 of the family's 3401-position model. RNAcentral also lists the same sequence under 2 other names. Lineage: Eukaryota; Metazoa; Cnidaria; Anthozoa; Scleractinia; Merulinidae. The record is from RNAcentral.
UUAAUAAGCGGAGGAAAAGAAACUAACAAGGAUUCCCUCAGUAACGGCGAGUGAAGCGGGAAGAGCUCAAAUUUGAAAUCUCCGAUGCUUGCAUCGGCGAGUUGUAGUUGCGAGAAGCACUUUCUAGGCGGAUCGACGGUGCCUAAGUUGCUUGGAACGGCACGUCGCAGAGGGUGACAACCCCGUCUGUGGCGCCGCCGGCCGCCGACGAUGUGCUUUCGAAGAGUCGGGUUGUUUGGGAAUGCAGCCCAAAACGGGUGGUAAACUCCAUCUAAAGCUAAAUACUGGCGUGAGACCGAUAGCGA